Molecule: unclassified non-coding RNA, 1763 nt
Filed under: uncultured fungus
Lineage: Eukaryota; Fungi
Description: sequence contains 18S rRNA gene, ITS1, 5.8S rRNA gene, ITS2, 28S rRNA gene
Rfam family: Eukaryotic large subunit ribosomal RNA (bases 732-1763)
Source: RNAcentral
GGUUGGAUCAUUAAAAAUCUAACUUUUUGAGGCUAGUAUCUUCGGCUCUUUGGGCCUUGGAUCUAGUUUUCAUCAACCCAACCUUUGUGAACUGUUUUUGUAUUUUGGACGUGGGUUAGUGUUAGUCGCAAGGCGAGCACUUGGAAGCGGGCCUCUGGCUCGACCCGUCCAACGGGACUUGAGAUCUUGAUCUCUUGGCCCAACCUUAAGCCUAUAAUUUUGAAGAACUUGUCUUAAAUUUUUUGAAUCUAUUUAAAAGAUGGAAAAAAAAACAACAACUUUUGACAACGGAUCUCUAGGCUCUCGCAACGAUGAAGAACGCAGCGAAAUGCGAUAAGUAAUGUGAAUUGCAGAAUUCCGUGAAUCAUUAAAUCUUUGAACGCACAUUGCGCUCUUUGGUACUCCGAAGAGCAUGUCUGUUUGAGAAUCAGUUUAAUUUAUUAACCUUGAUUGGCUUGAAGCUACAGCUACUUGCCAAUCUCGGUUAGAAUAUGGGCCUAUCAUUCAUCUUGAAGACCUUGAAUCGAACUUAUUACCCAGCCUGAUUAAGCGCUCAAAUGCACUUUCUCUCUUGCCUGGAAAGCAUGACCAAUGAACUGAAUUAGGCUUUUGAGGCCUUAUUUCUCUUCUUGAUUGCCGACCAUCUAAAGGGCUUGAGUCGAUCGUCGACUGCAGUGAAAUGAAAGGGAAGGAAUAAACAAACUUUGCUUUGAAGAGAAAUCUUUAAGACUUGAUCUCAAAUCAGAUAAGACUACCCGCUGAACUUAAGCAUAUCAAUAAGCGGAGGAAAAGAAACUAACAAGGAUUCCCCUAGUAACGGCGAGUGAAGCGGGAAGAGCUCAAAUUUGAAAUCCGGCUGGUUCCCAGUCUGAAUUGUAGUUUAAAGAAGUGUUUUCGGGACGGAGGCCAGGGUCAAGUCCUUUGGGAUAAGGCGUCAUAGAAGGUGAGAAUCCUGUAUGCGCUCUGGCUUACCACCUAUGUGAUACACUUUCAAAGAGUCGGGUUGUUUGGGAAUGCAGCCCAAAAUGGGUGGUAAAUACCAUCUAAAGCUAAAUAUUGGCGAGAGACCGAUAGCGAACAAGUACCGUGAGGGAAAGAUGAAAAGAACUUUGAAAAGAGAGUUAAAAGUACGUGAAAUUGUCAAAAGGGAAACACUUGAAACCAGUCUUGCGGGUUGAAUCCCAACUGGCCUAACGGUCAGCAUAUGUUUCAACUCGCAGGUCAAAAUCAGUUUCGACUGCCGUACAAGGCUUGAAGAAGGUGGCCUUCGGGUGUUAUAGCUUCAAGUUUAUGCGGUGGUCGGGAUUGAGGAACGCAGUGCAGUCUUGGAGACCCGAUCGCUAGUUGAUGCUCUUGCCUCGACAACUUGUUGACUUGGUGAGUGAUAAGGCUACUCGGUUGGUUUAUCACACCUGUACUUAGGAUUUUGACAAAAUGGUUUUAAAUGACCCGUCUUGAAACACGGACCAAGGAGUCUAACACAUAUGCGAGUAUUUGGGUGGAAAACCCAGAGUGCGCAAUGAAAGUAUUAAGGUGGGAUCCCCCUAAAAAGGGUGCACCAUCGACCGGUCUGGAUAUUUAUUUGAUAGAUCUGAGUAAGAGCAUAUUUGUUAGGACCCGAAAGAUGGUGAACUAUGCCUGAAUAGGGCGAAGCCAGAGGAAACUCUGGUGGAGGCUCGUAGCGAUUCUGACGUGCAAAUCGAUCGUCAAAUUUGGGUAUAGGGGCGAAAGACUAAUCGAACCAUCUAGUAGCUGGUUCCCUC